GGGGUUGCAGCUCAGCGGUAGAGCACUCACCUAGCACAUGUGAGGCCCUGGGUUUGAUCCUCAGCACCACA
Molecule: transfer RNA, 71 nt
Filed under: Marmota monax (woodchuck)
Lineage: Eukaryota; Metazoa; Chordata; Mammalia; Rodentia; Sciuridae
Description: tRNA.Ala
Source: RNAcentral